Molecule: ribosomal RNA, 254 nt
Filed under: uncultured bacterium
Lineage: Bacteria
Description: partial 16S ribosomal RNA
Rfam family: Bacterial small subunit ribosomal RNA
Source: RNAcentral
CUUUCUUUGCUGGCGACCGGCGCACGGGUGAGUAACACGUAUCCAACCUGCCCUUUACUCGGGGAUAGCCUUUCGAAAGAAAGAUUAAUACCCGAUAGCAUAAUGAUUCCGCAUGGUUUCAUUAUUAAAGGAUUCCGGUAAAGGAUGGGGAUGCGUUCCAUUAGGUUGUUGGUGAGGUAACGGCCCACCAAGCCUUCGAUGGAUAGGGGUUCUGAGAGGAAGGUCCCCCACAUUGGAACUGAGAUACGGUCCAA